CCCCCCGAAUUCUGCAUGAGUGGAGCGGAGAUCCUAGUGCAUUUAAAAUUCACUGUAAUUGUAAAAAUGUAUUAUUUAAAAAAAUAUAUAUAUAGAUAAGAGCUUCAUGUAUUGGAUCCCUCCUUUUUGAGGGACACGGAAACAGGCGCAGUUCAUCAGAGUCCCUCCCAUUCAGCCCUUCUGAAGUGUCCUUUGCACUGGCACAUGCCAGGCUGAUCUUCCUUGGUGUGAGAGUUAAAAACCAGGAGAACUGUAAGCAACCAUUUUGGAGAUGGCAUUCGUCACAUCAGAGGAAGCAGGUGGGACGCAGAAUAAAUCACUCAGGGGAAGUUCCCAAUUAGUGGAAGCCUGCCAUUUUUGGGCCGGUGCGGUGUGUGAAUUUAGAUGCGACUUUGACGUUCCCAGUUAUUCGAUAUUUCGCCAGCAGAUGCCACUGUUGACUGCAUAAGUGUUCUCACGUUAUUUGUUUCAUUUGCACAAAUUUCUGUAGCUUAUAUCGUGGGGUACCCAGAAAUAAGCGCUGUUCAGUAAUAAAUAAAUAAAUUGUUUACGUACUUUUCUAUA
This is a long non-coding RNA of Anguilla anguilla (European eel), 564 nucleotides long. RefSeq lists it as uncharacterized. The record is from RefSeq and is a predicted model, not a curated record. NCBI's taxonomy places the organism in Eukaryota, Metazoa, Chordata, Actinopteri, Anguilliformes, Anguillidae. The transcript has 2 exons.